GACGAACGCUGGCGGCGUGCCUAACACAUGCAAGUCGAGCGAGCGGCGGACGGGUGAGUAAUGUAUGGGGACUGCCCGAUAGAGGGGGAUAACUACUGGAAACGGUGGCUAAUACCGCAUACUAUCGGAUAACCCAUAUGGGAUUAGCUAGUAGGUGGGGUAAAGGCUCACCUAGGCGACGAUCUCUAGCUGGUCUGAGAGGAUGAUAAGCCCCACUGGGACUGAGACAGGGCCCAGCCUCGUACGGAGGCAGCAGUGGGGAAUAUUGCACAAUGGGCGCAAGCCGGAUGCAGCCAUGCCGCGGUUAUGAAGAAGGCCUUAGGGUUGUAAAGUACUUUCAGCGGGGAGGCGUUACCCGCAGAAGAAGCACCGGCUAACUCCGUGCCAGCAGCCGCGGUAAUUC
Molecule: ribosomal RNA, 403 nt
Filed under: uncultured bacterium
Lineage: Bacteria
Description: partial 16S ribosomal RNA
Rfam family: Bacterial small subunit ribosomal RNA
Source: RNAcentral